Long non-coding RNA from Leopardus geoffroyi (Geoffroy's cat), 201 nucleotides. RefSeq lists it as uncharacterized. Lineage: Eukaryota; Metazoa; Chordata; Mammalia; Carnivora; Felidae. The transcript has 3 exons. The record is from RefSeq and is a predicted model, not a curated record.
UGACAGAAUUGUCAUUAUCAGUAUCUUAAUAUUAAUAGCACAUCUUCAACCAGAUUUGUAUGCUAACAGUGGGGCAGUCUCAGAAUAUAUUGGUAAUUGAGAAAUGAUGCAGAUGGUAUAUUUGGUAAAAUACCACGUGCUAAAAUGGAAUCUCUCUCUAUGUAACUGUGGAAACUGGUAACAACCGAUCGGGAGAGCACA